This 506-nucleotide ribosomal RNA is filed under the name uncultured bacterium. RNAcentral's name for it is "partial 16S ribosomal RNA". It matches the Rfam family "Bacterial small subunit ribosomal RNA", at positions 28 to 523 of the family's 1533-position model. The record is from RNAcentral.
GAUGAACGCUAGCUACAGGCUUAACACAUGCAAGUCGAGGGGUAACAAGAGAAAAGCUUGCUUUUCUUGUUGACGACCGGCGCACGGGUGAGUAACGCGUAUCCAACCUGCCUAUAACUAGGGAAUAACCUUGCGAAAGUAAGACUAAUACCCUAUGAUUUCCUUUGAUGACAUCAAAUUAGGAAUAAAGAUUUAUCGGUUAUAGAUGGGGAUGCGUCUGAUUAGCUUGUUGGCGGGGUAACGGCCCACCAAGGCAACGAUCAGUAGGGGGUCUGAGAGGAAGGUCCCCCACAUUGGAACUGAGACACGGUCCAAACUCCUACGGGAGGCAGCAGUGAGGAAUAUUGGUCAAUGGGCGGAAGCCUGAACCAGCCAAGUAGCGUGCAGGAUGACGGCCCUAUGGGUUGUAAACUGCUUUUAUACAGGAAUAAAGUUAGCCACGUGUGGUUAUUUGUAGGUACUGUAUGAAUAAGGACCGGCUAAUUCCGUGCCAGCCGCCGCAGUAA